This 212-nucleotide unclassified non-coding RNA is filed under the name plant metagenome. RNAcentral describes it as "partial contains small subunit ribosomal RNA and internal transcribed spacer 1". The stretch from base 1 to 46 matches the Rfam family "Eukaryotic small subunit ribosomal RNA", at positions 1786 to 1831 of the family's 1831-position model. The record is from RNAcentral.
AAGUCGUAACAAGGUUUCCGUAGGUGAACCUGCGGAAGGAUCAUUACAGAGUUCAUGCCCUUUGGGGUAGAUCUCCCACCCUUGUGUAUAUUACAAUGCUGCUUUGGCAGGUCGACCCAACCCCGAGCCACUGGGUUAUCCUAGUGUGUGCCUGCCAGAGGUCCCUACACCCUGAAUCAUCAGUGUCGUCUGAGUACAAAAAUUAUUUAAAA